RNAcentral lists this ribosomal RNA (253 nucleotides) under uncultured bacterium. RNAcentral describes it as "partial 16S ribosomal RNA". It matches the Rfam family "Bacterial small subunit ribosomal RNA", at positions 524 to 776 of the family's 1533-position model. The record is from RNAcentral.
UACGUAGGGUGCAAGCGUUAAUCGGAAUUACUGGGCGUAAAGCGUGCGCAGGCGGUGAUGUAAGACAGGUGUGAAAUCCCCGGGCUUAACCUGGGAACUGCAUUUGUGACUGCACGGCUAGAGUGUGUCAGAGGGGGGUAGAAUUCCACGUGUAGCAGUGAAAUGCGUAGAUAUGUGGAGGAAUACCGAUGGCGAAGGCAGCCCCCUGGGAUAACACUGACGCUCAUGCACGAAAGCGUGGGGAGCAAACAGG